GAAGAAGAAGUAGAGGACGGGACGAAGUAGUCAUUUCUGUCAUUCACUCGGCGGUUAUUUUAAAGGAGCUGAGCCGACCUGUCGACAUCUUACACCGCGGCUGUGUUUGUCUUUCAGAAACACGCCUGCAAAAACCUAGAAGGACCACAUGGUGAGGGCAAGGAUAGUAUAAGUUAAGAACAGCUGGACCAACAUAAGCUCACCCGAACUACAGAGAAACAGCACCGCUGUAACCGCUGUAAGAAGAAUUUCAGUCGCCCAUGGAACUUGAAGAUUCAUCAGCGUAUCCACACUGGAGAAAAGCCUCACGUCUGUGACCAGUGUGGGGUGUGUUUCAGGCAGUUAGGGGACUUCAAGAGUCAUCAGUAUAUCCACACUGGAGAAAAGCCUUUUGUGUGUGACCAGUGUGGGAAGAGUUUCAGACAGUCUACACCUUUUAAAAUCCACCAGUGUAUCCACAUUGGAGAUAAACCUCACGUCUGUGACCAGUGUGGGGACAGUUUCAGACAUUUGGGAUGCUUAAAGAUUCAUCAGCGAAUCCACACUGGAAUAAAAGCAUCACCAGGGGCGUCGUAGUAGGGAUUAAAAGUUGGACUGAUUACCCAGGGCCCCAGUGGGAGGAGGGGGCCUUGAAAAGCCUGGAAUGAAAAGUUUGGUAUUUUUUGCAGUUUUUAGUGCUUUGCAUCAGUGCCAUAAUGUAAUUAAAACUGGCUAAAUAAA
This is a non-coding RNA of Epinephelus lanceolatus (giant grouper), 720 nucleotides long. The record is from RefSeq and is a predicted model, not a curated record. Lineage: Eukaryota; Metazoa; Chordata; Actinopteri; Perciformes; Serranidae.